CUGAGCAAUAAACUGGAAAGAUCUUGUGAACGGUUCCAACCUUCCUUGUUUGCUUGACUCUUGUUUUCUUUAAUAAAGGAUUUCAGCCCCAGCUGUGACCAUCAGCUCACAUCAGCUGCAUGACACUGCACUGUAUUUCUUACAUCCUGGGAAUUCAGCACUACUGUUGAAGGUGAGCAGAACUUCAGACACCUGCGCUCAGGGCGGCGGCACCCGCGUGUCCCGGGCGGAGCGGCGCGGCUCCGCGCUCCCCCCCGGUUCCGUUCCGCGUCGCUCCGCUCCGCGCCGCCGCGGCAGAACCCCGCGCCCGCGGGACCCCGCGCCCCCGCCCCCGCCGCGCCGGCCCCGCGGGCAGCCGCCACGCGCGGACGUACGCACCGCCCCGACCCCGCCGCGGAAUUAAGGAAGAAAAAAGC
RNAcentral lists this long non-coding RNA (416 nucleotides) under Gallus gallus (chicken). Lineage: Eukaryota; Metazoa; Chordata; Aves; Galliformes; Phasianidae. The record is from RNAcentral.